Molecule: long non-coding RNA, 207 nt
Filed under: Medicago truncatula (barrel medic)
Lineage: Eukaryota; Viridiplantae; Streptophyta; Magnoliopsida; Fabales; Fabaceae
Description: long non-coding RNA (MTRU_LNC000679)
Source: RNAcentral
AUAUUUAAAAUGUGUGAGGUCUAACCACUAAGACUACUUGACAAAAAAUGUGGUUAGUAAGGUCAACCACAAAUUGUUUUAAUCACUAACAAUCCAAAUUAGUGCUCUGCAUUUUUUUUAAUCAGCAAAUAUUAUUAAACGCUAUCCCUGCAAUACGCAAGGUAUGGACGAAACAAGAUAUAAAUGGUGCCGCAUAUAUACGGUACA